This 685-nucleotide ribosomal RNA is filed under the name Reticulitermes khaoyaiensis. RNAcentral's name for it is "partial 16S ribosomal RNA". The stretch from base 344 to 506 matches the Rfam family "Archaeal large subunit ribosomal RNA", at positions 1883 to 2090 of the family's 2987-position model. Lineage: Eukaryota; Metazoa; Arthropoda; Insecta; Blattodea; Rhinotermitidae. The record is from RNAcentral.
UUAGGGGUUUCUGGUUUUUCAAGAAAUGAAUUUAAUUCAUGCGUCUUAUUUAGAGUUUUAUUAUUUGUUUAUUUAUUUUUAUUUGGCGUUAAGAUUGGGAGGGAUUAGCUUCUUAUUUUAUUUUUAUAAUUUUUUAUUUAUUUAGUCUUGUGGGUUUUAUAGUGAUUUUCAAUUUGAUUAUGUUAAAAUUUUAUUUGUUUUGUUCUUUAUUUUUGUUUAUUUAAUUAUUUAUUGAAAUGUAUUCUUUAUCUUUGGUUUUGGUUAGUAAUUAUUGUAGAAUUAGUAAAUUUGUUGUUAGGUUGUUUUAUUUGUGUUAAUUUUCUUUGAGGAACUAGGCAAAUUUCAUGUCCGCCUGUUUAACAAAAACAUCUUUUCUCGUUAGUUUUUGAAGUAUGGCCUGCCCACUGACUUUGGUGUUGAAGGGCCGCGGUAUUUUGACCGUGCAAAGGUAGCAUAGUCAUUAGUUCUUUAAUUGUGAUCUGGUAUGAAUGGCUUGACGAGGCAUGGGCUGUCUUAAUUUUGAAUUGUUUAUUGAAUUUGGUCUUUGGGUUAAAAUUCUUAGAUGUUUUUAUGGGACGAGAAGACCCUAUAGAGUUUAACAUUUGUUAUGGUCCCCUUUCUGUUUGUGAGGGUUCAUUGGGCCGAUAAAUAUGUUUUGUUGGGGUGAUGGGAGGGAUUAAUUUAA